CAGCCCUAAACGAUGCGCGUUAGGUGUAUCGGUGACUACGAGUCACCGAGGUGCCGAAGGGAAACCGUGAAACGUGCCGCCUGGGAAGUACGGUCGCAAGGCUGAAACUUAAAGGAAUUGGCGGGGGGAGCACCACAACGGGUGGAGCCUGCGGUUUAAUUGGACUCAACGCCGGGAAGCUCACCGGAUAAGACAGCGGAAUGAUUGCCGGGCUGAAGACCCUGCAUGACCAGCUGAGAGGAGGUGCAUGGCGUAGUCGUGU
RNAcentral lists this ribosomal RNA (262 nucleotides) under uncultured archaeon. RNAcentral describes it as "partial 16S ribosomal RNA". It matches the Rfam family "Archaeal small subunit ribosomal RNA", at positions 748 to 1009 of the family's 1478-position model. The record is from RNAcentral.